GUGCUCGCUUCAGCAGCACAUACACUAAAGAGAUUAGCAUGGGCCCCUGCACAAAGCAAAUUUGUGAAGUGUUCCAUAUUUUU
Molecule: small nuclear RNA, 83 nt
Filed under: Choloepus hoffmanni (Hoffmann's two-fingered sloth)
Lineage: Eukaryota; Metazoa; Chordata; Mammalia; Pilosa; Megalonychidae
Source: RNAcentral